This 791-nucleotide ribosomal RNA is filed under the name Streptomyces seoulensis. RNAcentral's name for it is "bacterial SSU rRNA". It matches the Rfam family "Bacterial small subunit ribosomal RNA", at positions 67 to 873 of the family's 1533-position model. The record is from RNAcentral. Lineage: Bacteria; Bacillati; Actinomycetota; Actinomycetes; Kitasatosporales; Streptomycetaceae.
CGAUGAACCACUUCGGUGGGGAUUAGUGGCGAACGGGUGAGUAACACGUGGGCAAUCUGCCCUUCACUCUGGGACAAGCCCUGGAAACGGGGUCUAAUACCGGAUAACACUGCGGAUCGCAUGGUCUGCGGUUAAAAGCUCCGGCGGUGAAGGAUGAGCCCGCGGCCUAUCAGCUUGUUGGUGAGGUAAUGGCUCACCAAGGCGACGACGGGUAGCCGGCCUGAGAGGGCGACCGGCCACACUGGGACUGAGACACGGCCCAGACUCCUACGGGAGGCAGCAGUGGGGAAUAUUGCACAAUGGGCGAAAGCCUGAUGCAGCGACGCCGCGUGAGGGAUGACGGCCUUCGGGUUGUAAACCUCUUUCAGCAGGGAAGAAGCGAAAGUGACGGUACCUGCAGAAGAAGCGCCGGCUAACUACGUGCCAGCAGCCGCGGUAAUACGUAGGGCGCAAGCGUUGUCCGGAAUUAUUGGGCGUAAAGAGCUCGUAGGCGGCUUGUCACGUCGAUUGUGAAAGCCCGAGGCUUAACCUCGGGUCUGCAGUCGAUACGGGCUAGCUAGAGUGUGGUAGGGGAGAUCGGAAUUCCUGGUGUAGCGGUGAAAUGCGCAGAUAUCAGGAGGAACACCGGUGGCGAAGGCGGAUCUCUGGGCCAUUACUGACGCUGAGGAGCGAAAGCGUGGGGAGCGAACAGGAUUAGAUACCCUGGUAGUCCACGCCGUAAACGGUGGGCACUAGGUGUUGGCGACAUUCCACGUCGUCGGUGCCGCAGCUAACGCAUUAAGUGCCCCGCC